GCCUUCGUGGUGUAAUGGUCAGCACACUCGGCGCGUAUUCGAGACAUUCGAGGUUCGAAUCCCGGCAAGGGUA
RNAcentral lists this transfer RNA (73 nucleotides) under Stegodyphus mimosarum. It matches the Rfam family "tRNA". From Rfam's summary of the family: Transfer RNA (tRNA) molecules are approximately 80 nucleotides in length. Their secondary structure includes four short double-helical elements and three loops (D, anti-codon, and T loops). The record is from Rfam by way of RNAcentral. Lineage: Eukaryota; Metazoa; Arthropoda; Arachnida; Araneae; Eresidae.